AACAAUCAUAAAGUUUUUUAGACAACAUAUGUUUCACAAAAUCACCAAUUCUAACUAACUCGUCCUAAUCUCCAUGCACAAUAAUUACCUUAGCUUGAUUAAUCAUAUAGUGGCAGUUUUUGUAAGGGAUCGUCAGAUUUCAAUUCAAAGCCUGAAGAUCAAACAAAGCAAUACCUAAAGUGUCUUGCUACUAACAUUGACAAAUUUCAAAAGCAUUCCUGAGAGAAAAUGCAACAGCUCAAGCUCAAGAACCGGUGCGCUUUUGCCAAAUAUGCCUAAACAAAAGUAGCCUGCCAAACACCAAAAAUAAAUAUACAACAACAACAACAAUCCAGUAUAAUCCUACUAAUAAGGUCUGGGGAGGGUAGUGUGUACGCAGAACUUAUCCCUACCCUUUGAUAGAGAGGCUGUUUUCGAUAGACCCUCGGCUCCCUCCCUCCAAGAACUCUCCACCUUGCUCUUGAGUUAACUCAAACUCACAACCUCUUGGUUGGGAACGAAGAAUGAUUACCAGUAGAGCAACCCACUCUUGUCAAAUUUCAAUAACUAAAAAUAAAUAUAUUCAAUAUUAAUAAACAAUACCCCAAUAAAAUUAUAGAAAUUUAAAAGAAAAAGGACAGCAAGAUAAAGGAAUCAAAACAAGAAGGGCCAAGGAUAAUGCCAAAUAAAUUGACAGAAAAUAGUAAUUUUUUAUUUGGGCAUUUCCCCAAAUUCUGAAAUAAGAAUAAUUCGGGAUUGGAGAGGAAGAUAGAGAGACCAGAGAAGGAAAGGACAGAAUCAGAUACAACCCCAGCAAAAAAUGAUUCAAAAGAACAGAAAAACAAAUAGAAAGAUUAACACAUUCAUCAAAUACUUAUUACUAUGAAGUAACAAAAGGAAGAAAAGAAAAAUACUCACCAGAAUCCAAAAAUAAAACAAAGAGCAAAGAUUAAUUGAAAACAAUAUAGAGAACCUUUGUUAAAAAUUAAGCAACCCAAGAAAGCACAGAGGAGAGAGCAAGAGAGACGCCGG
This 1011-nucleotide long non-coding RNA is filed under the name Nicotiana tabacum (common tobacco). RNAcentral's name for it is "long non-coding RNA (NTAB_LNC015897)". The record is from RNAcentral. Lineage: Eukaryota; Viridiplantae; Streptophyta; Magnoliopsida; Solanales; Solanaceae.